GUGGGGAAUAUUGGACAAUGGGGGGAACCCUGAUCCAGCCAUGCCGAGUGUGCGAAGAAGGCCUUUUGGUUGUAAAGCACUUUAAGUGGGGAGGAGGCUUACCUGGUUAAUACCUGGGCUAAGUGGACGUUACCCACAGAAUAAGCACCGGCUAACUCUGUGCCAGCAGCCGCGGUAAUACAGAGGGUGCGAGCGUUAAUCGGAUUUACUGGGCGUAAAGCGCGCGUAGGUGGUUAAUUAAGUCAAAUGUGAAAUCCCCGAGCUUAACUUGGGAAUUGCAUUCGAUACUGGUUGGCUAGAGUAUGGGAGAGGAUGGUAGAAUUCCAGGUGUAGCGGUGAAAUGCGUAGAGAUCUGGAGGAAUACCGAUGGCGAAGGCAGCCAUCUGGCCUAAUACUGACACUGAGGUGCGAAAGCAUGGGGAGCAAACAGGAUUAGAAACCCUGGUAGUCC
RNAcentral lists this ribosomal RNA (451 nucleotides) under uncultured bacterium. RNAcentral's name for it is "partial 16S ribosomal RNA". It matches the Rfam family "Bacterial small subunit ribosomal RNA", at positions 354 to 796 of the family's 1533-position model. The record is from RNAcentral.